GGCUUGAUAGCGGAUGGUCCGCGCCUGCUACCCAUGUGCCUUGAACCAAUUAGCACCAGCAGGAGCCGCCCGUUCAACUCGGGCUCAAGCCU
This is a non-coding RNA of Mycena galericulata, 92 nucleotides long. The record is from the annotation of a GenBank genome assembly. NCBI's taxonomy places the organism in Eukaryota, Fungi, Basidiomycota, Agaricomycetes, Agaricales, Mycenaceae.